Molecule: ribosomal RNA, 427 nt
Filed under: uncultured bacterium
Lineage: Bacteria
Description: bacterial SSU rRNA
Rfam family: Bacterial small subunit ribosomal RNA
Source: RNAcentral
UGGGGAAUUUUGGACAAUGGGCGAAAGCCUGAUCCAGCAAUGCCGCGUGUGCGAAGAAGGCCUUCGGGUUGUAAAGCACUUUUGUCCGGAAAGAAAUCCGCCUGGCCAAUACCCGGGCGGGAUGACGGUACCGGAAGAAGAAGCCCCGGCUAACUUCGUGCCAGCAGCCGCGGUAAUACGAAGGGGGCUAGCGUUGCUCGGAAUUACUGGGCGUAAAGCGCACGUAGGCGGCUUGUUAAGUCGGGGGUGAAAUCCCGGAGCUCAACUCCGGAACUGCCUUCGAUACUGGCAAGCUCGAGUCCGGGAGAGGUGAGUGGAACUGCGAGUGUAGAGGUGAAAUUCGUAGAUAUUCGCAAGAACACCAGUGGCGAAGGCGGCUCACUGGCCCGGUACUGACGCUGAGGUGCGAAAGCGUGGGGAGCAAACA